Molecule: long non-coding RNA, 1109 nt
Organism: Amblyraja radiata (thorny skate)
Lineage: Eukaryota; Metazoa; Chordata; Chondrichthyes; Rajiformes; Rajidae
Exons: 3
Source: RefSeq, a predicted model, not a curated record
GUUUUUCCAAGUGGAAAGAUUGAGCAGAAUAUGAAAUUGAGACCACAGAUCAGAGAUGCUGUCUAAAACGGUUGGGCACAGAUAGUGAUGAUGCUGCGAUUUUUGAGCAACGCUUCAGUACAAUCACUCACUCAGAACAUUGGCAUUGGAUCAACAACAGCAAUGAAAUGAGAGAUGCUGCCUGACCCAUUAAGUUACUCCAGCAUUCUGCAUCUAUCUUCGGUGUAAACCAGCAUCUGCAGGUCCUUCCUACACCCUGGCCUAUCUUUCUACUGAAUUAAUUUUAUACUGUUCUUGCAAUAAUUACUCUGCACUAGUUCAAUUUGCAAUUAUAUAUAUAUAAAAUAUACAAUGUAACAAUGUUCGUACUCACCAAUUAAUGUCAGCAAUGUUUUAAUGUUUAAUUGAUAAUUAUCUUGGGUCAUAUAAUGUAAAAAUGCAUGUUUAGUGCACUUAGAAAUGUUACUAUUUCUAGAGCCAUGUAGUGACUUGCUUGAAUGAUUCAAUGCAGCUACUUAUCACAUUAGAAAGCUUUACGAUGCUGCUCUUGCUGUUACCACUAGAUUUCUUCUUGCUUCACUUGCUGUGGAGUCUGCUCUAACAUAUUGCAAGUCUUUUUACAUUAGGGCGCCUGCAAGUCAGUGACAUAUGGACACUAAUGCUGUUUUCUUGUCAUAGCCACUGUUCUCCCUUUUUUUGUCAAUUUAUUUAAACAGAUUUUUUUGCAUCACAUGAUAAUAUUUUAACUUGUUAAUCAUGGUGAACAGACAAACGGAUGUUUUGCCUUUUCUAAGAUGUAGCCAUGAUUAUAAUUUGGUGUGAAUUCUAAGUAGAUAAUUAAAUUAAAAAUAAUAAUAUACCCAAUAAAUGAUGUCUACUCAACAUCAUAGUCAAGACAAUACACUGUUUGAGGAUAUUGGGUGUACUGGUUUUGUGAUAUUAUUUAAAUAGGUAUUUACAGUUAAAAUUGUGAUAGAUGAGAUAAUGUGAUUGGUGUAUGGUACCGGAUUAACUUAAUCAACUUUAUCAUUUAUCAUUAUCACAAAUAUAAUAACGUGAGUUUCAAAAUAUCGCAUUUGACAAAAUAAACCACUUUCAUAUUACUCUUA